AUGAGCAAGCCCCUGGAUUGGAUGGGCUACCACCCCAGAAAACGGAGUCAAUUUGGGUACCACAAGGAGGGCUUGGAAGGCAGCAGGUCCUUUGCCAAGAUGGGACCAAGAUCUGCCAAUCUUUAUUGCUCACCCAAGGAGUCAGGAGAGAAAGAUCUGCUUAUUCAACUGACAUUGACCAAAAAUAAGAGAUGGGAAACUGACGCCCAGAGAGGAAGAGAUUUGCUCAAGGCCCCACACAGUGAGUUAGUGACAAAGCUGGGAUUGGAAACCAGAACUUUCUUACCAUACCAUACCAUUCUCUCUCUAUUAUUGACAAAAUGUUGAAUGAAUGUAUCAUUGAAGAUUGAGUGAAUGGAGUGAAGGUCUCUAUAUAUGUUCCCAGGGACGUGGAGGAUUUGCUGAUGUGGGGACCAAACUUUGCAGCAGUUGUUCCUCAGACAAGCUAUUCUGGUGCAAUCACUACUCACCGUAUACUCGAACUCCUGGACUCGUGUGACCCUCCCACCUUAGCCUCCUGAGUAGCUGGGACUACAAGCACAUGCCACCAUGCCCAGCUAAUUUUUGUGUUUUUUGUAGAGAUGGGAUUUUGCCAUGUUGCCCAGGCUGAUCUGGAACUCCUGGGCUCAAGUGAUCCGCCUGUCUCAGCCUCUCAAAUUGCUAGGAUUACAGGUGUGAGCCACCAUGCCCGGCCACAAGCUGUUCUUAUAAGCCUCCCUGCUUUGGUUUCAACUGUUCCUUUACUCUGGAAUGCCCUGCCCACUCUGGCUUUUAAAAUCGUAUACAAGGUCUAACCCAAUGCCACCUCCUCUAUGAAGCCUCUCAUAACAUAUCCCAUGUGUUAGCUUUCAUUGGUUCCAUAGUAUGCUGUUAUGUCCCAGCCACAAUCUGAUGCAUUUGUCUAGUUACAUAUCUGUCUUCUCCACUAGUUUUCUCCCAACCAAACAGACAGGGGAGAGAUGUGAAUUUUUUAAUUUUUGAUUUUAUUACUAUUAUUAUUUUAUAGAGACAGGGUCUCCCUGUGUUGCCCAUGCUGGUCUCAAACUCCUGGGCUCAAGGGGUCCUCCUGCCUCAUCCUCCCAAAAUGCUAGGAUUACAGGCAUGAGCCACCAUGCUCUGCCAGAAAUGUCAAUUCGAAUCUACAUUCUCUGAUUGAAAGGAGUAUACAAGGAGGCCAGAAACCUAGUUCUUGUUAUUUACUAUCUGUGGCACCUUGAACAAAUUACUUGUAUUUUAGAUCUUGUUUUCACAUUUACAAAAUGGAAUGGAUGAAAGACAAAGUCUGCAAAUACUAACUCCUAAACCUCUUUUUCUUUCUCUCUCUCUCUCUCUCUUUUUUUUUUUUUUUUUUUUGAAGGAUAAGGUCUCACUCUGUUGCCUAGGCUGGAAUGCAUCACACCUCACGGUAACCUCGAACUCCUGGCCUCAAGGGAUCCUCCCACUCCCACUUUGGCCCCCAAAGUGCUGUGAUUACAGGCAUGAGUCACCCACUCAGCCUACUUAAGCCUCUUUUUUAUUUUUUUUUUGAGACAGGGUCUUGCUCUAUCACCCAGGCUGGCGUCGUGCAGUGGUACAAUCUCAGCUCACUGCAACCUCUGCCUCCUAAGUUCAAGCGAUUCUCCUGCCUCAGCCUCCUGAGUAGCUGGGACUACAGGUGUGCACCACUACACCCAGCUAAUUUUUGUAUUUGUAGUAGAGACAGGGUUUCACCAUAUUGGCCAGGCUGGUCUCGAACUCCUGACCUCAGGUGAUCCACCUGCCUCAGCCUCCCAAAGUGCUGGGAUUACAGGUGUGAGUCACUGCACCUGGCCACCUAAGCCUCUUCUAAUGGAAGUAUAGAUUAUUGACUCUGAAUGCUCAUUCUAGAGUCAACCUACCAGACUUUGAAUCCUGACUAUCACUUACUCUGUGACUUUGAGUAAGCUACUUAACCCCUCUGUGCCUCACCUUUACCUGUAAAAUGAGAAUAAUAACCAUGCCUGUCUCAUAAGAGUUGUGAGGAUUCGAACAGAUAAUUUAUAUAUAAAGCACUUAUCGCAGUACCUGGUGCCCAUGGUGAGCCUUUGAAAAGAGUAAGCUCUCAUUAUUUUUUAUUAUUUUUAUUUUACUAACCCUGGGUUCACAGCUUCAGAAUCUAGAAAAGACAUCUCCAACUUUAAUGUCCUCAAAGCAAGGUGAGAGUCUGUCUUCAUUCUAGGAGAGGUCUGCCGAGCAGAGUGAUGAAGAGCAUGGAUCUGAAACCAUCCAAAAGUAGUGGCAAAAUAACAAUAUGCUCAGACAUGUGGAAUACAGAAAUUGCACUCCCAUUCACCCUUUCCUGAGCAACUACUUGAAGAUGUACUUCUCAAGUGUGAAAAAAAGAAAUAUGUUGACAUGAGAUCCAGAAAACACUGUCUCCAACCUGGAAAGCAGUGAGAAGGAAGUGCUGAGGUGACUGCUGGAAAGCAGUGAGAAGGAAGUGCUGAGGUGACUGCUGGAAAGCAGGGAAGUGCUGAGGUGACUGCUGGAAAGCAGUGAGGCUAGGCAAGGAGGACUGCUGGAAGCAGGAGAAGGAAGUGCUAAGGUGACUGCUGGA
Molecule: long non-coding RNA, 2575 nt
Organism: Papio anubis (olive baboon)
Lineage: Eukaryota; Metazoa; Chordata; Mammalia; Primates; Cercopithecidae
Source: Ensembl